GGAGGAACCUCUGGAGAGAACCGUUAAAUCGGUCGCCGAAGGAGCAAGGUCUGCACACAUGUGCAGGCUGAAACUUUCAGGCAAAAGGACAGAGGAGUGGAA
This 102-nucleotide non-coding RNA is filed under the name Vibrio sp. Its description in RNAcentral is "Glycine sequence". It matches the Rfam family "Glycine riboswitch aptamer". Rfam says of the family: This family represents the bacterial glycine riboswitch. Glycine riboswitches usually consist of two metabolite-binding aptamers domains with similar structures in tandem. The record is from RNAcentral. Lineage: Bacteria; Pseudomonadati; Pseudomonadota; Gammaproteobacteria; Vibrionales; Vibrionaceae.